GAUGAAGAACGUAGCGAAAUGCGAUAAGUAAUGUGAAUUGCAGAAUACAGUGAAUCAUCGAAUCUUUGAACGCACAUUGCGCCCGCCAGUAUUCUGGCGGGCAUGCCUGUUCGAGCGUCAUUUCAACCAUCAAGCCCUGCUUGCGUUGGGGUCCUGCGGCUGCCCGCAGGCCCUGAAAACCAGUGGCGGGCUCGCUAGUCACACCGAGCGCAGUAAUACAUCUCGCUUUGGGCGUGCGGCGGGUUCUUGCCGUUAAACACCCCCUUUUUACCAAGGUUGACCUCGGAUCAGGUAGGAAUACCCGCUGAACUUAAGCAUAUCAAAUAAGCGGAGGA
RNAcentral lists this unclassified non-coding RNA (335 nucleotides) under soil metagenome. RNAcentral describes it as "partial contains 5.8S ribosomal RNA, internal transcribed spacer 2, and large subunit ribosomal RNA". The stretch from base 1 to 120 matches the Rfam family "5.8S ribosomal RNA", at positions 35 to 154 of the family's 154-position model. The record is from RNAcentral.